GACGAACGCUGGCGGCGUGCUUAACACAUGCAAGUCGAACGAUGAAGAAGAGAAACGCGAACUUCGGUUCAAAUUUCACUUCGGAUUAGUGGCAGACGGGUGAGUAACGCGUGAGCAACCUACCUCUUACAAAGGGAUAGCCUCGGGAAACCGUGAUUAAUACCAUAUGACACAUUCAUAAGGCAUCUUAAGACUGUUAAAGCUACGGCGGUAAGAGAUGGGCUCGCGUCCCAUUAGCUAGUUGGUGAGGUAACGGCCCACCAAGGCGACGAUGGGUAACCGGCCUGAGAGGGUGAACGGUCACAUUGGAACUGAGACACGGUCCAAACUCCUACGGGAGGCAGCAGUGGGGAAUAUUGCACAAUGGAGGGAACUCUGAUGCAGCGACGCCGCGUGAGCGAUGAAGGAAUUCGUUUCGUAAAGCUCUGUUCUAUGGGAAGAAAAGGACUGUACCAUAGGAGAAAGCCCCGGCUAAAUACGUG
This 482-nucleotide ribosomal RNA is filed under the name uncultured bacterium. RNAcentral describes it as "partial 16S ribosomal RNA". It matches the Rfam family "Bacterial small subunit ribosomal RNA", at positions 28 to 507 of the family's 1533-position model. The record is from RNAcentral.